Selaginella moellendorffii is the source of this 950-nucleotide long non-coding RNA. RefSeq lists it as uncharacterized. The transcript has 7 exons. The record is from RefSeq and is a predicted model, not a curated record. NCBI's taxonomy places the organism in Eukaryota, Viridiplantae, Streptophyta, Lycopodiopsida, Selaginellales, Selaginellaceae.
CCUUGCGUCGAUCUCGCCAGGCGAGGUAAGAAUCGCGUUGGAAAAAUCGCAGCUUGUCGAUUUUUUUCCAAUGUGGGGUAAGAUUGAGUCUAUGGCGCGGUACUUGUAUUCCUCAACACGGGAUAACUUGGCGAUUUAGGCAAGCUUCUCCCAGAUCCAAGAUAUUCGAUCUAAAACCACGCAAAACGUAGAUUAAGGAUUGUUUCUACAAGGUUUUGGUCCCUCCUCCUGCCACCAGUACCGUCAUCUUUUCAGAGAUGAAAACCGUGCGUGGACAAGACCUCUUGAAUGUUUCUGCAUGAAUCGCAUCAUGGACAAUCUGUGAAGGAAGCCCGUUCUUCGCGAUAUAGAAAGCCAUGGCCUUUUAGCACUGGCGGAAAGCCCCCCUCUAGAAAUUUCUCUGAGCAGCAUCACAAAAAUAUCCUCCGACAAGAUAAAUAUUUCAGGGCCUUACAGUGAAGAAUUCGGACAAGCGUCGUGGCUUAAAAUUUGGGACGUUAAAUGCUCGGAUCCAACACAUUGCUCGGACUAGCAGCUUUAAAGCAUCAAACAUUGACAUUUUCCAGACUGUCGACUUUAAUGGACCUUGCUUUCGGGCUUGUCGAACUGUAACAUCUGCUCUGGAGAAGAAGAACAAGAAAAGGACCCGAGGAGGCUGAAAGCGCAAGCAUCUCGUCUUCUUACCCAGCUAAAAGAAUCGGCUCCAGAUUCAAGAGUGCUGAAUCCAGACAGCUGUAUGCAACUGACGGCCGGCGUCACAUUGAUACGAAGUCUAUUCCCAAUCCGACCAGGUACGGAAGACUUCUCAGCGAAAUAAUGCGUGGUCUGUACGAGGCCGGUCAAAUGAGCUUUGGUGCUAAACUCGUUUGGCGAUGGACGGACCACGCCGCAUGUCAACGACGAACUUUGUUCCUUCCCAUGAACGUGUUCUUCGCUCAGCUAUCGUCACA